Molecule: long non-coding RNA, 5889 nt
Organism: Aptenodytes forsteri (emperor penguin)
Lineage: Eukaryota; Metazoa; Chordata; Aves; Sphenisciformes; Spheniscidae
Exons: 5
Source: RefSeq, a predicted model, not a curated record
AAGAGACCUGCUAUUUCAGUGAAACUAAAGAAUAAAAAUAAAUAAACCAGAAAACCUCUGCAAAAACAAUUUGACACUUGCUAUUGAUUGAAGUAAUGGAGCAAGCAGAGUUCUAAGAAGUUGCAUAAAAGCAUCUUUGGUCUGCCUUAAAAAUCCCUCUAAAAGAUACAGUGAUAUUACUCAUACACUGUUCACCUAUCUGUCUCUUCUCAUCUCUAGGUCUCAAAAGCUGAACUGCUUUAAAUUCACAUGCCAAAGCAGAACCUAUUCUUCCUGACUCUGUGCCCCGCACUCAGCUAUCAGUCUUGCCUGCAAUGCUGUAAAGCACAUAUUGCUGUGGAAGACCCUGGCUGAUGAGAAACACAUAGUUCUUGUUCACCUGCUUGAGCAUCAAGUGGUGUCAACUGGAUGACUGGAGAAGCCCAUCUCUUUCCGUCGUCCUCUGAUACCAGACUUUUCUGGAGGAACUGCCGUUGCCUUGCUGGGAGACCGAAGUGGUGAGAUGCAGACCCGUGGGUGCCUUGCUGGGUCUGCUGUUUUCUGGUUGGAGUAUUUUUCAUAGUCUGCAUUAUAAGAAAACCCACACAUGAAGAAAGGGAGAAAGAAGUAAAUGGAAAACAAACUACAGGCAUGGCCAUUAAUUCUUCUGGGGAAAAGACGCCCCGACUUCUUCAAGCGUCCAGACCUGCUGCAGAAUAUGCGAGAAUUUCAUAUUUACUCAAAAGAGAUCUCCAUGUGCAUGUUAUGAAAUAUUUCAUUCCAAACACAAGUACAAGAUAAAUGCAGUUGGAGUGGAUCUUGACUUGCAUCAAGAAAUCAAAGCAGGCAUGAAGGGAAGAGAGUACGGCUCUCUCAUCUGCAGCCCCUUCAUGGAGCCCAGCAGUUAUAGCUCAUCACCAUCUCUUUUGGCACCCAAGGAUCUUCCCAGCCCACGCAAACUGCACAGCUUCGUGGCUGGUAGGUUUUGUGCAGCACCAAUGUGUCUUACUGUGACUAUUGCUGCGGUAAGAUGGGUCAACCUUAUGUUGGUAUCCGUGGCAUUAUGCAAAUUUUUGUGUCUAUGAAAGUUACCUAAUUAAGUCAUGUUCCUUAAAAGUCUCAAAUGGGAUUUCUCAAAUUGUCUUUGAGCUGAUGCUCACUGCUGUAACCAGCACAUGUCCAGGGAGCAGCUUAGCUGUGUGCACUGCCAAGCAGCCCAGCUGAUGGCUGCAGCGCAAAAGGAGCACAGGGGGAGGCACAGCUCCGAAUGCCACGAAUCCCAGUGUCUGCGCCUGCUGUGGAGACAUUUGAGGAGGACCUUCUAUCAGGAGACCAUGCUUUACUGGGUGAGCAGGAGGACCCGUCUCCACUUCAGCUGUCAGCGAAGGAGCAGCAAAUCAGUAGGUUGAAUAACAAACCCCAAACUAGGGUUUUUCUGCUCAAGGGUUCUAGAAGAACGUGAAACCGGCACUGCUCAGCUAACUGUGUGGAUCUCACUGUGUAAGUCAGCACUGAUGGCUGAGAAAUGGAAGACAGAAGUAGCUAAGCCUUUUAAAAGGCUUCAGAGGUAAUCCAUUGAUCUGCUAAUUUAUGUCAAGCUUUUUUACCAAACAACCUCUUGGGAACUGCAUUUGUGUAAUUAUUGUUUCUGUUCCCUUAUGGUCUGCAAAAUGUUGGGAAUAGCAAAUACUUUCCAGAAGACUGGAAACGUUUCUGAGGUCUGAUGCCUCUACUGGAAAUCUUUGAAAUAGUCUGCAAGAAUGUGGUUAAAGUGAUACAGUCAGCCCCGAGUACUUCAGUUGCCUUCCCCUGAGGAGCUGAUAAUGACAGCUAUUGGAGACACUGUUGGGCUGGAUGAACCUCAGACAAAUUUUAUGUCCUUAUGUCUUCGACAGCGUCUAAAGCCUGAGGCAGUCUGUGUUCUCCAGAAGAGCUCAAUACAGAGGAGUCGCUUUCAUCAUCUUGAUUUGUGCAACGCUUUCUUAGUAGAGGUGCAGAUUCUUGUGCAAUAACAACAGCUUGCAAAAGUUACUUUUUGUGGAAGCUCUAGAAAUAAUCAACAGAUCUCAGUAGUCCAGGGCCAUAGGCAGGAGGAGGAAGGAGCAGUGCACUGCUUCACUUUUAUCUUGAUUUGCUCUUAUUUAGUACAUGCCCCCAAAGGACAUCCGUGAGCUUUUCAAGUCAUUUUGCCUCCAACAGCUACUCCAAAAGCAACAAAUAUGUCUAGCAAGCAUCCAAAUGCCCUGCAAGCCAAUAAGUUUUAUCUUCAACCCAGAUCUGGAGCAACGGUAGUGAACAAAUGCUGUUUUUCUAGAUUUGAUCAGGUGUGUGGCAGAUGACUACUUUGCCCAGUACGGCUGGUAAGAUGCCUUAAUAACUCUGCACCCAGGAAGAGCAGCAACAAUAGAUUCAGAUGACAACAAGUAACUUUUGUUCAGCACUUAGCCACAUAGAUACGUAGCCAGCAUUAGUAAUCUGGAGUACACAGAAAGCCUCAUGAAGCUUCACAGGAGAGCUGUUGAUGUUGCUUGUUCUUCAGAGGUCCCUCAGCAGCAUCCCCAAAGAAAACGCAGUGAAACAAGUAGUUUAAUUCUCAGGCAAUAGCAUGUUGCCACUGAAGAGCAGAUUUCUUCCAGCCUUGAAUCUGCUUUUUCAUUUUCUCUCUCUAAGCCAACAGUACCUAUCACCUUGCCGUGCGGGACUUUUUCCCAGCAUGCAGUUAACUCCCAUUGUUCCCUGGAAGCACAUGCCUGCAGGGACUUCAUCACUCCGAUCUCUAUCAGUCGUUGUUGGACACUGCAUUCCUUUAGGAUAAAGCUUUAGAAGUGCUUUUGUGGGACCCAUUGAUAAGGCAAACAGCUCUGACAGCCCCAAGAGCCCAGCAGCGCUCAGCCUAACCCAGAUGCGCUGUGCUGAGGCAGUGACUGCUUUCCUUUUCUUUACUAGCUUGUGAGGGCAGUUUGCAGCUUCUUUUUUGUUAAUUCUUGCAAAAGCUCUCCUUCCUCUCCCGAGCAGAAUGGCACAGGAGUUUGAGCCAAAUCUUUAAAUUGGGUACAGAGUUUUUCUGGCAUUUAUGUAUUUUAAACACAGGUUUAACUCUCUGGCUGGAGCGGACCACCACGUUGGGGACAGCGAGUCCAAAGCAGUGACUGGGGCUGAGUGGGGCAAGGCUUUCCUCCCCAGCAGGACAUGGACCCCCGUGGCAGCAGACACGGCGGAGGUGGGAGGCUUGCCUGUUGCCUUUCUGGAGGAGCGGCGGGGAGGAUCAGGUGGACAGUCCCACGUCCCCCACCCAGAGCCCACCAAGGGUGGAGCCCAUGGGGAAGAAGGAUUUGUGCCCAGUUAUGGUCCAGUGUGCAAUGGAAAGUGGAGCUCAGCUCUCAGCGAGUGCUGCCUGGUGCAGGGCACAGAGCUCAGCUCUUCUGUUCUCGGGUGACCUGCAGCAGCCAAAGCGCUCCCCUAUGCAGCUGUACUGGGGAUUAGCAGUAAAUGCACUUGCAUUACAUUUAAAUUACUUCCUCAAAUAUAUUUGUCAGUAUUCAUGUUUUCCUUAAUUAAAAUGAGCCCAUUUCAGCAUAUACCUGCCCAUUCAUGUGCAUCUCUACACGUAUAUCUGACCACGACCGCCACCAUAUUUGGGUCUGUGUAAUGAUUGUUGUUCUGAGUCUGGAAAGACUUUGCACAUUCAGAGUUAUGUGCAAGAAAGGAAUCCUGUGCAGUGCAAACUCUGCAUAACCUUUGUAGCGUCUGGAGCAACAGUAAAGAAUUUGGGAUUGGGAACUCACCACAUUGUUACUUAUUGGUAUUGCAUUCCGAAGAGGACAAAUCAGGGCCUUGUUGUGCUAGGUUCUGCAAUUUAAAAAAGCCUUUGCUUUGAUGAAUUUGCUGCCUAAGUGGCAUUGUUCUGUUCUUGAUGACAAGUUGUUUUUCAGAAAACAAGUCCAGUUUAUUAAAUUAAAAUCUCUCCUAAAAUAGAAAAUGUAUUUAGCAAAGUUCCUCUGCUUCCAUUCCUAGUAUAAAACCAAUUUAUUUACUUCUGUAGUUGAAAUUGCACACAUUAAAGGAGAACAUAAAGUUUCUUUAAUUUUGUUUGAUGUUCUUCAUAUAGUUUUGUAUGAAAGUUGGGAUUAUGUGACCAUCUUGUGGCUGUAACACUUGUCAGUUCAUUUAAAUCAAUGUUUUAAUUUGUUAUUUAUAAUUAUCACGAAGUUUAUUGGGUUUAGUGGUAAUACCCAAAUUCAUAAUGCCUGGAAGGAAAAGCUGCAGUGUGAACUCACCUAUAACAGUCGACAUUGGAGACAGUACACAGAAAGCAACCACAGAUUGCCAGGUUCACAAGCGCUCCUGUUUGUCUGUCUGUGUGUGUGUCUGUCUGUGUGUCUCAGAGAUGAUUUUUAGAUUGUUUUUCAUAUCAUGAUGCAAACAUAAAGUAAACCUUUUUUUGCAAAAGCUUGGAAGUGACUUAGAAGUGUAAGAAUGUAUUGGGAAGCGUAUCUGAAAAUCUCAGCUGUUCUCAGGGCAACAGUGAACAAUACAGAUUUUGCACAGGCAGGUGACUUGUGAAGGUGGGAGUCUUGGAAAGAAAAUGUAGAAGGAAAUCAUGCAGGGAUAUGGGGCAGGCGGAUUCACGGGGCCAGUGAGUUAGAGACUUUUACAAAGCCACCUUGUUCUUCUCUUGGUUUCAGUGGGUUUUCAUUUAACAAAGAAAGUAGCUGGAAAAAUUACCCAGAAAUAUUUGACCUUCAAAAAGGCCUCUAAGGCACAAUUACCUGAUGUUCACUCAACUGGUUCACGUGGUUCCCACUCUAAAUUACUUUCUGGGUUCACCCAUGUGUGAAAAGGGGUCUGAUUAUAUGGAGGAGGGCAAAUGAGAAAAGAAACUUCAGGAAGGAGAGAAAUACACCAGGGAAUUUUACUGGUUGUAUUUGCUUCAAGGGAAGGAAAGGGCAAACAAAUGUAGCCAACUCAAAGUAGCUUUUUGGCUUUGAACUUCAAAAGAAAGUAACAUAGGAGAGAUGUGGGGUAUCCGUAGCACUCGAUAUAAGCUGUUUCAUAGAGUUAGGUAGGAAUUAUAGAAUACAUUGUACUUAGCUUUCUUAGCCAGAUGGCAAAUUCUUUUUUUUCCUCGAGUACAACAAAAAUGUAACAAAAAUCCUGUUUUCCCCCCCAUGUCUUUUCUUUCCUUCCGCCCUUGGUUGCCCUGCACACAGGAGAUCACUUGGCUGUCCGGCCACCAGUGUUCACGCCAGGGUCCAGCCAUGCCCUUUCUGCAGAGUUUCAGCUCUUUCCACUGCAUGCUCCUGACAUUGGAAGAAAGCAAGUGAGUUAUCUAGGGCUGCAAUCUCUAUUAGGCUUUAGGAAAAAUACUUUUUUAAGGAAAUAAAUUCCAUGGUUGGCACAAAAGUGCCUCUAUCACGCACACUUUUCAGUGCAAGGUAUAACCAGGUGCACAUAAAAGUGUGACUUCAAUAGUUUAGUAUUGGCCAAGACACAAAGCAGCAUUUUACCUGCUGCUCCUCUGCUCUGAACUGCCAGCAGAAUUGCAUGGGUGCCCAAUUGCAUGGGCCUUCGUAUGGUGUGAAAAGAGCAACGCCUGAAAACUUGAAGACUUCUUGAAACUGGGGAAUUGGAUUUCCAUCUUUGAUGAGAGAGCACAGUGUGCAAUAGGAAGUACAUUUGUAUGGAAGCAAAUUCUUUUAAAUAAUCUCGGAACUUAAAGACUUCCAUGAAUAAAAGCAAGUAGUCAGUACACCUUCUGUCUGCAUUAUCUAACAAAAGGAACAAAUUCUCUGAGACAGGGUAGAAAGACAAGAGCAUCAACAUGAUAACUGUACUGCUGAAGCAGUUUUUAAUUAUUUGACCAAGUAUCUUUGUGAAAAUUUUUUUGGGGGGGAUUUCACAUUUGAGAUA